GGAGGGAGAUUGUGGUUCCUCUUUAUGUCUGACCAGAACAGUCGAUCUUGUGUUAUUAAAACAGCUCCUACCUGCCCCUGAGUGAGGGGCACACGUAUUAAAAUACAGCCAUGAAACAUGUGUUUAGUUAUGAUAGCGCUUAUGUAGUUUUAAAUGCUGUUUCUUUGGAACGAAGGAUAUGGAUGAAUGCAUUUGAAGGCACACUGGUGAUUGGCAAAUAUUUCUGUCUCUUUGACCCUGCUCCUGGUGGUCUUGUCUUCAUUAGGGAGAAAAAAAUGUGUGUUUGUAAGAGGCCAUGCUUUUUACAUUACUGUCUCAAAGUUGGCUGAAAUGGACAAGUUUAGGCAAAUCCUGGCCAAGGUUCCAGGACUCCCUUUGUCUGAGACACACAGGAACCAAGGUUCGAGAAAUCCCUUUGUUCAAGAGAUGGACAAGUCUGGGAGCUAUGAAAGAGAGAGAAGAUGCUGAUUAAUGGCCCUUAAGUGGUCUUUUUGUGUGGGCCUAUCUCAAGGAAGAUGGCCAUCUCCGAGGAAUUCACAUGACUCUGACCCGAGCCUUCCAGAAAUGUCACGAAGGCUGGGAAGAAGUAGGAAAAAAGGGCACGUACAAACCCCAAAUUGAGGUUUUCUGACACCAGAUGCCUCACUACGGAAACAAGGAGUUUUUCUGUCAUCAUAUGCCUCUCUAUGUGAGUGCCUGCAUGCUGAAGAAGAUGCCUGCAUGCUGAAGAACCUUUUAGGUAACUGACCUCAGAUUCCUCCAUCGUCGUCCUACUGCUGCCUACUGUCUCUCCUGGGAUUGCUGCUCGAGACUCUGCUUCUUGAGACCACGGUACUCUGACCGCCUUCUCUGCGCUGCACCGAUCUGCUGCUUGUGGCCUGCUACUCUGCUGCUGCUCUCCCCUACCAACGUAACAACGUACUACAGGUCGCUGCUGCAGGCAGGAGGUUACUAUUCCCCGCUUUUAAGCAAUUCUUGCCUCUUUUCCUCCUUUUUCUAUCGCCUACUUUCCCGUCCCCAUCACCCUAAUUUUGAUAUUCGUCGCUCUCCCUUCCCAUCCCCUCAAUUGUCUAUUAUUUCCAAUAAACUGGUCGAAUCAACAUUUGAAUGUUCUUCU
RNAcentral lists this long non-coding RNA (1117 nucleotides) under Coturnix japonica (Japanese quail). RNAcentral describes it as "lncRNA (ENSCJPG00005011716.1)". Lineage: Eukaryota; Metazoa; Chordata; Aves; Galliformes; Phasianidae. The record is from RNAcentral.